CCCAGAAAAUGUUGACCGUGAGAUGUGUGAAAAUUACUGCAGCUGCUGUUCCAUUUUUUGUAUUGUUUUUGCUUUUACCGAUCAUUUUGAAAGUGAGUCAAGAAUCCGAUCGACCACUUAUGUGCUAUAAAUGUUGGGCAGAUAAAAGCAACGAAGGGGAGAAAUGUCCGUUUGGGAUCGCCCAUGGUGUUUGCUGGACCAGAAACAUCCAGAAGCCAUGGCAGAAACGAUCGUUUGUCAAUCCUCUGAAUCUUAUUGUGGCAUCUACUAUCAUGAAAAGCAAGACGAUGAAAAUAAUGGUGCAACUGCGAUAUUUGUACGAGGCUGCCAAGAAGACCGACGACGACCAAGCCUGUUCAUCGGAAACUUACAGUCUAUGAUCUACGGAACGCCAACGGGCCGAAAAUUCACGGUGGCAGACCCUUUGCGCAACACCAGUCACAGUUACUGGGCCUUUGAUCAAGCCUGUACGACUCCGCUCUGCAACUCAUGGACGGAUCACACUCGCCAAUGGGGCUGGAUCAAUUGGAUUAAAGAGGCCUAUACGUUCCACUGCCCAGGAUUGCCUGCUCAGUACAGUGAUAGAGCAGUUGAAAAAAAGACGACGAAUAAUUCGUGAAUAACAAGACAGAAAUGAAGUAGACGCCGUCCAACUGUAACAGCGUUACGGGAUCGUUAAAUUUUGAAAAUGUUGAUUAAAUGUAGAACUGAAAUUUAACCAGACAAAGAAAAAUUGAUUUCUGAGGCCGCAA
RNA transcript from Daphnia magna, 752 nucleotides. RefSeq lists it as uncharacterized. The record is from RefSeq and is a predicted model, not a curated record. The transcript has a single exon. NCBI's taxonomy places the organism in Eukaryota, Metazoa, Arthropoda, Branchiopoda, Diplostraca, Daphniidae.